UAAAGGCAUUUUCUUAAUAUAAUGGUGGGUUAAACUUUGUUACAAGACAUGCAAUUUCACAGUCAUUUCACAUAGCAGUCCUUGACAACUAGGAAAAGUAGAUCUGAUGUUAUUCUGUUCAUCACAUUCACUGACAGACCAGGUAAAGAUGUUAAUAUGGCUGUAAGUAGUUUGCAACAGAAAUUGACUGCCACAAGAAAGAUCAGUCAUUUUAUUGUCAUGAUAAAAUGUACACUAAAUCUAAAUAUAAGGUGCAUGAUUACAAUAAAAGGUUUACUUGAUGUAAAAUGUUAUAAUUACUUCCCAUUUUAUUAUCCAAGUCUUUUUUCUUGUCACAUUUGCUAAUUGAUCAUAAGAUUUUAGAAACAAGACAAAAAUUAUUCUGACAAUUUAACCUACAAAA
Molecule: long non-coding RNA, 403 nt
Filed under: Mytilus galloprovincialis (Mediterranean mussel)
Lineage: Eukaryota; Metazoa; Mollusca; Bivalvia; Mytilida; Mytilidae
Source: RNAcentral